RNAcentral lists this ribosomal RNA (463 nucleotides) under uncultured bacterium. RNAcentral describes it as "partial 16S ribosomal RNA". It matches the Rfam family "Bacterial small subunit ribosomal RNA", at positions 28 to 507 of the family's 1533-position model. The record is from RNAcentral.
GACGAACGCUGGCGGCGUGCUUAACACAUGCAAGUCGAACGGAAAGGCCUUUUCGGAGGUACUCGAGUGGCGAACGGGUGAGUAACACGUGGGUGAUCUGCCCUGCACUCUGGGAUAAGCCUGGGAAACUGGGUCUAAUACCGGAUAGGACCGCACUUUAGUGUGUGUGGUGGAAAGUUUUUUCGGUGUAGGAUGAGCCCGCGGCCUAUCAGCUUGUUGGUGGGGUAAUGGCCUACCAAGGCGGCGACGGGUAGCCGGACUGAGAGGUUGGUCGGCCACAUUGGGAUUGAGAUACGGCCCAGACUCCUACGGGAGGCAGCAGUGGGGAAUAUUGCACAAUGGGCGCAAGCCUGAUGCAGCGACGCCGCGUGGGGGAGGACGGCCUUCGGGUUGUAAACUCCUUUCGCCAGGGACGAAGCGUUUUGUGACGGUACCUGGAGAAGAAGCACCGGCUAACUACGUG